Molecule: transfer RNA, 72 nt
Filed under: Camelus bactrianus (Bactrian camel)
Lineage: Eukaryota; Metazoa; Chordata; Mammalia; Artiodactyla; Camelidae
Also listed under: 2 other names
Rfam family: tRNA
About the family: Transfer RNA (tRNA) molecules are approximately 80 nucleotides in length. Their secondary structure includes four short double-helical elements and three loops (D, anti-codon, and T loops). Further hydrogen bonds mediate the characteristic L-shaped molecular structure. tRNAs have two regions of fundamental functional importance: the anti-codon, which is responsible for specific mRNA codon recognition, and the 3' end, to which the tRNAs corresponding amino acid is attached (by aminoacyl-tRNA synthetases). tRNAs cope with the degeneracy of the genetic code in two manners: having more than one tRNA (with a specific anti-codon) for a particular amino acid; and 'wobble' base-pairing, i.e. permitting non-standard base-pairing at the 3rd anti-codon position.
Source: Rfam by way of RNAcentral
GUAGGUAUCGCUCAGUGAUAGAGCACAUGCUUAGCAUGCACGAGGUCUUGGGUUCAAUCCCCAGUACAUCCA